This 1255-nucleotide ribosomal RNA is filed under the name Bacillus amyloliquefaciens. Its description in RNAcentral is "bacterial SSU rRNA". It matches the Rfam family "Bacterial small subunit ribosomal RNA", at positions 212 to 1465 of the family's 1533-position model. Lineage: Bacteria; Bacillati; Bacillota; Bacilli; Caryophanales; Bacillaceae. The record is from RNAcentral.
UUUACAUUUAAGAAAGACCCGGGGGCUAUUAGUUGGUGGGGAGUACGGCUCACCAAGGCGAUGAUUGGUAGCCAACCUGAGAGGUGAUCCGCCCACAUGGGACUGAACCCGGCCCAGAUUCUUACGGGAGGCAGCAGUAGGGAUUUUCCGCAAUGGACGAAAGUCUGACGGAGCAACGCCGCCUGAGUGAUGAAGGUUUUCGGAUCGUAAAGCUCUGUUGUUAGGGAAGAACAAGUGCCGUUCAAAUAGGGCGGCACCUUGACGGUACCUAACCAGAAAGCCACGGCUAACUACGUGCCAGCAGCCGCGGUAAUACGUAGGUGGCAAGCGUUGUCCGGAAUUAUUGGGCGUAAAGGGCUCGCAGGCGGUUUCUUAAGUCUGAUGUGAAAGCCCCCGGCUCAACCGGGGAGGGUCAUUGGAAACUGGGGAACUUGAGUGCAGAAGAGGAGAGUGGAAUUCCACGUGUAGCGGUGAAAUGCGUAGAGAUGUGGAGGAACACCAGUGGCGAAGGCGACUCUCUGGUCUGUAACUGACGCUGAGGAGCGAAAGCGUGGGGAGCGAACAGGAUUAGAUACCCUGGUAGUCCACGCCGUAAACGAUGAGUGCUAAGUGUUAGGGGGUUUCCGCCCCUUAGUGCUGCAGCUAACGCAUUAAGCACUCCGCCUGGGGAGUACGGUCGCAAGACUGAAACUCAAAGGAAUUGACGGGGGCCCGCACAAGCGGUGGAGCAUGUGGUUUAAUUCGAAGCAACGCGAAGAACCUUACCAGGUCUUGACAUCCUCUGACAAUCCUAGAGAUAGGACGUCCCCUUCGGGGGCAGAGUGACAGGUGGUGCAUGGUUGUCGUCAGCUCGUGUCGUGAGAUGUUGGGUUAAGUCCCGCAACGAGCGCAACCCUUGAUCUUAGUUGCCAGCAUUCAGUUGGGCACUCUAAGGUGACUGCCGGUGACAAACCGGAGGAAGGUGGGGAUGACGUCAAAUCAUCAUGCCCCUUAUGACCUGGGCUACACACGUGCUACAAUGGGCAGAACAAAGGGCAGCGAAACCGCGAGGUUAAGCCAAUCCCACAAAUCUGUUCUCAGUUCGGAUCGCAGUCUGCAACUCGACUGCGUGAAGCUGGAAUCGCUAGUAAUCGCGGAUCAGCAUGCCGCGGUGAAUACGUUCCCGGGCCUUGUACACACCGCCCGUCACACCACGAGAGUUUGUAACACCCGAAGUCGGUGAGGUAACCUUUUUGGAGCCAGCCGCCGAAAGGGA